Molecule: long non-coding RNA, 323 nt
Filed under: Phoenix dactylifera (date palm)
Lineage: Eukaryota; Viridiplantae; Streptophyta; Magnoliopsida; Arecales; Arecaceae
Description: long non-coding RNA (PDAC_LNC011733)
Source: RNAcentral
AGUAGGGUAUGCACUUACAUGAAAUCUAUCGACCUUGAUAGAAGAGGAGUGAUCCUAUGUGAUUUAUUAGACAGAGUUCUAAGACCUUGGCCAGGGCAAUAAUAUACAGUGGAGAAAGAGUUUUCCACUAUCGAACUCAAGUCGAAUAAAUCUAGACAUAUGACAGACGACGGGGUUUGACGAGUUAUCCAUGACCUCCAGUCUGUAGGGAUCCACGAUAGAAGGACUGUAUCAUACGAUAACUGCACCUAGAGGUUCAUCAUUCUAUUAUGCUGGGUGGCCACUACAUACUGCUAGGUGUCACUGGUGGAUGGUGAGACUCA